UAGCGCUAGGGGAACCUGGCGCUGGAUCACCUCCUUN
This 37-nucleotide ribosomal RNA is filed under the name Vibrio parahaemolyticus. RNAcentral describes it as "partial 16S ribosomal RNA". The record is from RNAcentral. Lineage: Bacteria; Pseudomonadati; Pseudomonadota; Gammaproteobacteria; Vibrionales; Vibrionaceae.